Molecule: non-coding RNA, 373 nt
Organism: Pelobates cultripes (western spadefoot toad)
Lineage: Eukaryota; Metazoa; Chordata; Amphibia; Anura; Pelobatidae
Source: the annotation of a GenBank genome assembly
GGGUCAUGCUAGCUAAUUACGUCAUAGAACCGGCACACUUUACCGAAUAGAAGGAAAACGAUUGCAGUAUAUGUCGCAAGUGCUAAUCAGAACAAUGGCAAGCUGAUAACCGAAUGAAAAAAAAGAUUGAAAGUAAUUGCUGGCAUAUUGCCCAAAUCAAAGAUGGCGUACGAAAUAGUGACCUUAAGUCACGUGAUGUAAACAAUGCUGCGGGCUCACUGUGUUGAGAGUCCAGUGCUAGAUGCAUGGGAAGAUGGCUGGUUACAUGGGGAUGUAUGAAGAACCGUCUGAUAUAACGCAGCAACAGGAGAGACAUUAUUACCUCCUGUCUGAACUGCAGAGCCUGGUGAAAGACCUGCCCAGGUAAUGGCAG